RNA transcript from Globicephala melas (long-finned pilot whale), 13466 nucleotides. It is a transcript of the gene named mannosidase beta, with no coding region annotated. The record is from RefSeq and is a predicted model, not a curated record. Lineage: Eukaryota; Metazoa; Chordata; Mammalia; Artiodactyla; Delphinidae.
GCUCCUCCCGAACAGAGGGUAACUUCCGCGGCUCUCCGAAGCGCGGGGCUUCUACCCCCGUGGGUGGGUGAGGUACCGGCCACCGGCAUGCUCCUCCGCCUGCUCCUGCUGCUUGCGUUGUGCGGUGCGGGCUCCGCUGCCAUGGUGGUCAGCGUCAGCUUGCGGGGAAGCUGGAGGAUCCGCAGCGGGAACGGCUCGCUGGAGUUGCCCGCGGAGGUUCCCGGUUGCGUGCACAGCGCCUUGUUCCACCAGAGGCUUAUCCAGGAUCCUUAUUACAGAUUUAAUAACCUUAACUACCGAUGGAUCGCCUUGGAUAACUGGACCUAUAUCAAGAAAUUUAAAAUCCCUUUUGACCUGAGCAAAUGGAGUAAAGUAAAGUUGGUUUUUGAAGGCGUCGAUACAGUUACAGUAGUCCUGCUCAAUAAUAUUCCUGUUGGCGAAACAGACAACAUGUUCAGAAGCUAUAGCUUUGAUAUUACACGUGUGGUCCAGGCAGUAAACAUCCUUGAGGUGCAUUUCCAGUCACCAGUGAUAUAUGCGGACCAGAGGAGUAAAGUUCACACUCACUACAGCGUGCCCCCCAACUGCCCUCCGCGUGUGCAGGAUGGCGAAUGCCAUGUCAACUUUAUUCGCAAGGCACAGUGUUCCUUUAGUUGGGACUGGGGGCCUUCCUUUCCUACCCAGGGCAUCUGGAAAGAUGUUAGAAUUGAAGCCUAUAAUAUUUGUCAUCUGAACUACUUCACAUUUACCCCCAUAUAUGAUAAUAAUAUCCAGGAGUGGAAUCUUGAAAUAGAGUCUUCUUUUGAUGUUAUCAGUUCAAAGCCAGUUUUGGGUCAAGCGAUUAUAGCCAUCCCUGAAUUAAAAAUACAACAGACAAACAGCGUUGAACUUCAGCAUGGGGAAAGGAUUGUUAAACUCUUUGUGAAAAUUGACAAGAGUGUUACUAUAGAAACUUGGUGGCCUCAUGGACAUGGAAACCAGACUGGGUACAACAUGACAGUUCUUUUUAAGCUGGAUGGAGGCUUAAGUUUUGAAAAAUCAGCUAAGGUUUAUUUUAGGACAGUGGAACUCAUAGAAGAGCCCAUAAAAGGAUCCCGUGGUCUGAGUUUCUACUUCAAAAUUAAUGGACUUCCAAUAUUUCUGAAAGGCUCGAAUUGGAUUCCCCCAGAUUCAUUCCAGGAUCGAGUAACCUCUGCCUUAUUACGGCUCCUUUUGCAGUCUGUUGUGGAUGCUAACAUGAAUGCUCUCCGGGUUUGGGGAGGAGGAAUUUAUGAGCAGGAUGAAUUCUAUGAACUCUGUGAUGAACUAGGAAUAAUGGUAUGGCAGGAUUUUAUGUUUGCCUGUGCACUUUACCCAACUGAUCAGGAUUUCAUGGAUUCAGUGAGAGCAGAAGUUUCUUACCAGGUCAGGAGACUGAAAUCUCAUCCCUCCGUCAUCACAUGGAGUGGAAAUAAUGAAAAUGAAGCAGCUUUGAUGUUGAAUUGGUAUGAUAUACAGUCCAGCAACCUGUCCACCUACAUCGAUGAUUAUGUGACACUGUAUGUGAAAAACAUCCGAAGGAUUGUCUUCGAAGGAGACCAGACUCGUCCUUUUAUCACAUCCAGUCCUACAAAUGGGGCUAAAUCCACUGCAGAAGGCUGGCUCUCUAAAAACCCAUAUGACCCGAAUUAUGGUGACGUACAUUUUUAUGACUAUGUUGGUGAUUGCUGGAAUUGGAAAAUUUUCCCCAAAGCUCGAUUUGUAUCUGAAUAUGGAUAUCAGUCCUGGCCUUCCUUCAGUACAUUAGAGAAGGUUUCAUCUAAAGAGGACUGGUCUUAUGAAAGCAAAUUUGCACAUCAUAGACAACAUUUCACAGAUGGUAACUAUAAAAUGCUUCACCAGGCUGAGCUUCAUUUCAAACUCCCCCAAAGUGCAGAUCAAUUACGCAAGUUCAAAGACACUAUUUAUCUUACUCAGGUGAUGCAGGCCCAGUGUGUCAAAACAGAAACUGAAUUCUACCGCCGCAGUCGCAGCGAGAUAGUGCAUGGAGAAGGGCACACCAUGGGGGCGCUUUAUUGGCAGUUGAAUGACAUCUGGCAGGCUCCUUCCUGGUCUUCUCUAGAGUAUGGAGGAAAGUGGAAAAUGCUUCAUUAUUUUGCUCGUCAUUUCUUCGCUCCGCUGUUGCCGGUGGGUUUUGAGAAUGAAGAUGUGUUUUUCAUCUACGGUGUGUCAGACCUUCAUUCAGACCACAAGAUGAUGCUCACUGUGAGAGUCCACACAUGGAGUUCCCUGGAGCCCGUGUGCUCUGAGACGACAAAGCCUUUUGUGAUGAAAGCAGGGGAGUCUGCUCUUCUCUAUGAUAAGCCAGUAGCUGAAUUAUUAAGAGGAUGUACAAAUUGUACACGACAAAGCUGUGUGGUUUCCUUUUACCUGUCAACUGCCAGGGAGCUCUUGAGCCCAACCAACUAUCACUUCCUGUCCUCACCAAAGGAGGCCAAGGGGCUCCACAAGGCAAAUAUCACUGCCACCAUCUCUCAGCAAGGGGACACAUUUGUUUUUCAUCUGAAAACCUCAGCUGUUGCUCCCUUUGUUUGGUUGGAUGUAGAAAGCAUCCCAGGGAGAUUCAGUGACAAUGGUUUUCUCAUGACUGAGGAGACACGGACUGUAUUCUUCUACCCUUGGAAACCCACCAAUGAGAGUGAAUUGGAGCGAUCUUUUCAUGUGAUUUCACUGGCGGAUAUUUACUGAGGGAAUCCAGGCUGUAUUGGCAGGAGCUGAAGGCAACCAGAAACAAGUUGAAGAGGCCAGGAAACGCGUCUGCUUGCUGUCAGGUGUCUGCAUAACCACUUGGUGAAGAGCUUGUACUAGUGCAUUCUCCCAGGGAAGGCUGUGUACUCAGGUGAUGUCCUCCUCCAACAAAGCUGUGCCUAGGUGCCGUCCAGUCCGCACCAGGACUGUGGUUUUAGCCCAUUCCCCCACGGCUUUUGCACCACAUGAACCAGUUAUAACCCAACUGCCUCUCCAAGCCCGGAAAGGAGGUCUGUCCACGUGCAGCCCUUUAAGGGAAUCACAGGAACUGGAAACAAGACUACAGGAUCACACUCAAGCUCUGUGAAGUCAGCCAGAGGAUUUCUUCAUGAUAACUGCAGCCGGCACUUUCUCAGUCCUUAGAAGACAGAGGUUACUGAAUCCUGCCAUGAAAAGAAAGUAUGCAACAGUGAUGCAGCUGAACUCCUUAGGUCAGGUCUCAGCCUUUGCACGGGAUUUAUUGAGCACCAGCUUGUGCCGUGUUGUGCUGUGUAUGCAGUGAGAAAAGAAUCGUCAGUCUUCUGUGACCUGAGUUGGAGGAGAAAUUUUCAGGCGGUAAGCCGAAGAAUUUCUAAAUUUCUUGCUUUUGGUGAGCCUCCUUCCAAUUUUACUGACGCAAAAAUUUGAGUAACAAGAGGCAUGCCAGCUGUUCGGUGAUGUUGCAGAGUUCUGCUUCUUCCAGCAGAGGCCUCUUGUGCACAGGAAGUGAGGCUGGUGGUGGCUGGAGGGGACCCUGGGCCAGGGCACUGGUUUCCCAGAAGCUCCCCCAGAGUAAAGCAGGGAGGGGAGUCUAAGGAAGAGCUUGUGGGGACCGCCCCCCACCCUCCACCCCCGUCCCCUGUCCGGGCUUCAGAGAGCUGGAUGCCAGUGUCCUGGAAUUCUGGAGUCUUUCUUGAAAGAAAGAGACGGGGAGAGAGAAGGAGAGAAAGAAAGAGGGAUGGAUAGAGGGAGAAAGCGGGGAGGAGGGAGAGAGGGAGGAAGGAAGGCAGCAGCUUUGUUUAAGCUCCAGGGCUCAGAGGCAGGACACCCGUGAGCCUGAUGAUCCCAAGGGUCAGACCUGCAGAGAGACUCUUUCUGCUGUCUGCCUUCCAGUUUAUUUCGUUUCCCUUCAUUGUUGCUACCUGGCCAAAAGGGCAUCUAAAUGAUUUUUAAUCCCAAUUUAACUGCUACGGAGCUAUGAAAACUUGGCACAAAGCCUCCAGCAUAGCUGAUUGAUGGGGGAGAAGUCAGAUGAUCUCUUAAAAGCCACGGUGACGAGCGAGAAGGACUGAAACCGUGAGUUACUGAAACCGUGAGUUACGGCAUGGUUUGCAGAAAGGCCCAAACUUCUGGUGAUGGAGGGAGCGAUGGAGGGUCUUUCCUGGUCCAGCAUGGCCUCUUCUGUAUAAGGCGGUGGCCCUGUGGGUGACUCGCUGGCCACACAUUCUUUCUUGAAGCUUUAAACCUGGAGUCUCUUUGCCUUCCAGAACUAAAACGAACGGUCUCUGGUGCAUUUGCUGUGUGCAUAUGUUGAUCAUCAUUCAAGACGUGCUUUUGGUGAGGGAGGAAAGCAGUCGGGGCCAGAUGGUGACUCUGACCUUCCCAGAUCAACACUGGGAAGGAGACGACAGCUAAGGGCUGCUUUGGCAUCAGGCUGACUUGCCCAGUCGUCCAUGAGCACAUAAAUACUUCCUGAGCAUGUAUGGCCCCGUCUGUGGGAGAGGGAAAUGACUUUGCCCUUGGUCAUGGCCAUUUACCAUGAUUGCAGGUGACUUUCAGAGGGAGUGGAUGUUUGCACACAAGUUGGAACUCGAAGGAACUUCAGGUUCAAUCUCCAUCCUUUAGCUGACCGGACCAUCACCCACAGCAAGGCCUUAGGAGCCAAGGGUUGGCGGGAGAAUCACUGUCAGCCUGGAUCCCUUCAUGACUAUGUGGAAGAGAGACGCCCUGCUCACCCCUGUCCCCUACUGCAAGUGUGGUUUAUUGAAACACAGUUUUUGCACAAGUUAUAUGGGAUAAUGAGUCACCACUCACUGUAGAGCCUGGCAGGUGACAGAUGCUCGAGAAAUCUAGACCGAAUACACAUCUUCGUUCCUUGAGGGUUGUUGUGAUAUCUUAAUGAAAUAAUCAUUUUGGAGAGAGGUAUCAACAUGGAAAAGCUAAUUGCUGGAGGACUUCAGGUAUGGCUAAAGAAUAACCUGUGGAAUCAGACACACCUGGAUUUGAAUCUGGGGAAGGGCCCUCCCACCCCAGCAAGGUGACACCAGUGCUGAAACUGAACGGCAAGAAGGAGCCCGCCAGAGACCUGCGAGACAGAAAUGAAGAAAGAGGAUGUCUCUGCAUUCAAAGCUGUGCAGGGACAAGCAGGCAGGCUGUGAACACGACAGCACGCCCCUUCCCCCGAGAUAGCCGGCAGCCUGGGAGGUUGCUCUCAGGGCAGAGAGCAACUCAAAGAAAGGAAAGCAUCACCAGGUAAUGGCUCCGCAAGGAGUCACGUCACUGGUUCCAUGUGCUGACAUGCGAUCAAGGCAUGUUCUUGGGGAGGGCAAGGCAUGAAGGUUGAUUACAGUCUUUCGUCUUUGUUCAGCGAGAUCAAAGUUCUGUGACCAUCCUGACACUCUAAGUAGCAUUUCUGCAGCAAGUCUCAAGGUGUCUGAAAACAGCCAAGGUGGGUUUCCUGCUGUCCUGGGUCAACCCUCCCAGGACACGGGUAAUGACUGAUUUUCUACCUCAGAGUUAAGGGAGAAGGAAAGGGAUUAUGCUCCGGCCAAUGGUGUUAACAGAGCAAAGUCAAAUAAACGUAGUCAAAGAUGUAAGACGACGUGUUACCUCGUAGUUGUCCAUGAGAGUUCUGGAAGGAGCAGGACUCAGCCGGAAGGCAUUAUUUAGUAUCCCCAAACCUAAUUUCUGUGCCAGAGUAGCCCAGUUUUUGUCUGGAUCAGGAAUUUCUAGCAACUUGUAGAGCUGCAACUUCGCAUCUUCAGUCAGCUGUUUCAUGUCUCCUGAAGAGAAUAAAGAAGAAACACGACCGUCCUAACCGACCAGAGACGCUCCGGAGGGAUGGAUCACUGCCACACCGCUCACCCUCCCGCCCCGGGGAAGCAGUCACGUUCCUUCACGUGGAAGUCGGCAGCAGCCCACGCUGUCGUAAUUUACAGCCGGACCUUCUCCGUGGCGCCCCUCCAGGGUCUCCUGAUUCUGAGAGAAGCCCCUGUGCCUUUCACAGCACACCCUGACCCCCCCCCCCCGCUUCAGUGACAGGGUGGAGAUGACACUGGCUCAAAGAACCCGCUUCUCCCACAACUCACCUUGUGCCAGUAAAUCGUCAGGUGUAAACUCUGGCUCAUAGGGUUUCCCAUUUAAUAUGUCAAAUACCUGUUGGGAGGAAAAGCACGGGGAGAUGUUGCACGUUACAGGGACCAUGAGGGAAAUCUGCUUCUCUGUAAUACAAAGGACUCGGCGUGUCCUCCUCGGGAGGGGCCAGGACCCCAAAGACGGAGGAAUGGGAAGAGGGGUCAGUACCAUCGCCCGAGAAUACGCGUGCCCUCUGGGGGGCUCUGGGCCUGGGAGGCUGUGCUCCACGGGAGCCGCCUGAGGUGGGGAGCAAGACCCAACCCAGCCUCACACAGAGCCAAGGCCACGGCCCUGCUGAGGGGCAGAGGCAGUCUAGGCCACCCAGUCAGCCACGUGUGGGUCAGCGAUGUUCCCUGAGAGCUAGGGAGGGGGCUGAGCUCACGCUGAGCUGUGAAGCUGGGCUCUGCGGCUGCCCCUCCUCCCUAGUGAAAAGGCUUCUGAGAGCGAGUUUUACGAACGUGCCCAAACUGAGGUGUACAAACGCUCACAGGGCUUGGGGUCAGCCUCCUGGCACCAUCCACGUUUUAACUGCGGGGCCAGAAAAGUCUUAGGUUAAAAGAGAGGAAAAAACCAAAACUGCAUAGCUCUGGGGGCUGUUCUGCGCUCUCUGCAGUCACUCGGUGGCUGGCUGACCUGGGCGAGGACCACAUGGGGUCACUGAAGUGGGUUAUCUUUGUGUUCUGUGGUGAGGCUUCUGGGAAAACCAGGCGUUCAACGUAAAGAGAGCCGUGUGGUCUCUCCGCCAGGGUCACUCAGCUCAACCCACGCGGCCCGCGAGGGGCAAGCGGGCAGUUUUGGACAGGGAGCGGCACCUGGCCCUGCGAAGGGUUAAUAUUCAGCUGGGCCGCCCACCUCCUCCCUCUGGCUCCCCUCCCGACGCCCAAAAGACCCAGUAACUGCUUUCGCCUUCAGAUCUCAGGUCAGCAGAGUUCCGAGGAAAGCUUUAAGGCUGUUUACUUUGUUUACAUUUGUGCAGAUCCUCAGAAGAAUCCCCAUUUCUUUUUAUGUUCAGAAAUCACUUACCGAAGUUCAAGCCAACCGUAACAGUUAUCCUGGCUUCAGAAACUGAGAUGGGAACGACUGUGGUGCAUGUGCUUUGGGGAGUAAAGACCGAGGAAGGCCACCUGCUCUGACGUCCCUGGACCUGGAGCUCCCUCAGGAGCAGCGAGCACACGGGCGGAGCCGCACUCACCUGCCAGCUGGUGGCCAUAUCCAGAGGAGUGGUUCCUGGCAGGACUCCUUCAUCCUCUCCAUCCUCGUCCCAAGAGUCAUCCAGGUCGUACAGAGGCUCAAAGUUCUCCACCAGGGGAUCUGCUCCUGCGAAGUCAAGUUAACACAGCGUUAGCUGCAGCCUGAUCUCUGGGGCAGUAAGUGUCACCCGACCACGGAAACAGUAGAGAAACUAGGAUGAACAAUUUGCAGGACCCAAGAUGGAGAAGCUUAACUAGGUCUGUUCCUUAAGUGAUCUUCUUCAUGACUCUGAGCUCAGGACUAGGAUUUUGUUUUUGUUUUUAAAUUUUGUUUUUAAAUUUUGUUUAUUUUUGUCUGCGUUGGGUCUUCGCUGCUGCUGCGCGUGGGCUUUCUCUAGUUGCAAUGAGUGGGGGCCCCUCUUCGUUGCGGUGCGCGGGCUUCUCAUUGCGGUGGCUUCUCUUAUUGCGGAGCCUAGGCUCUAGGUGCACAGGCUUCAGUAGUUGUGGCUUAGCGGGCUCUAGAGCACAGGCUCAGUAGUUGUGGCGUGGGCUUAGUUGCUCCCCAGCACGUGGGAUCUUCCUGGAACAGGGCUCGAACCCGUGUCCCCUGCAUCGGCAGGCGGAGUCUCAACCACUGCGCCAUCAGGGAAGCCCAGGACUAGGUUUUUCUUCUGAGUUUCUUCAUUUAUGUACUGGAGAAACUGCUACUUGCUACUCCUUUCAUGGGAUACUGAGAAUUAGAGAGAAAGCAUUCUUGGAAGGGUCAGAGCUUCUCGUCUGAAGGCAUUUCUUAAUUAUAACCAGUGACUCCCCACACUAUUCAUCCACACUGCAAUCAUCGUCUCUUGUUCACGGGAACGUCAACUUGACAAAGGAGGAAAGAAAAGGCUGCUGCUUAUUCGGGAUGUGAUGUCAGAAAAAUGUAGUGCUGCCAAAGAAAAGGUUCUCAUAUUUUUCUGGCCUCAGUUUUUUUUAGAAGGUAUUUAAUCUUCUCUUUUCUUGAAUUUGUGAAGCAUUUAUUUUCUAAAAAAAAUUUAAUAACCUCUGAGGUAAAUCACAUAGGCCAGGACAGGCUUGAGAUACCAAUUCCAUUAAACAUUUUUUGAGGUUCUAAAUACACAAGGCAGUAGAGAUUCAAGGAUGAGCAGGAAUAAUUUUUUCUGUAUUUCACAGGAAGAGAGGAUUGAAUUGGAAUAACACCUUCAAAUCCUUGAGCAAAACAGGGGACAGAAACACAGCAGAGAGAAUGGAGUCUGGAAGUUCAGGGUGACGAGGUGUGACUCACAGCUCUGCCCCUUACUGGGGCCCUGGGACCGGGAUGCAGAAGUCUCUCUAGUCUGUUUCCUUGGCUAUAAAAUGGGGCUAAUAAUGGGCUUUGUCUCAAAGGGUUAUUGUGGAUUAAGUAAGACUAAAUGAGACAGUGCGUGUGGAGUGCCUAUAGCCCAACAGCCCAACAGCAGCUAGCGAUGUUUAGUGCCUGGUACAUGACAGUACUCAACACACCGCCCACUUGUUUCUUCCUAUUACUCUGGCUUCUCAGGGACCUUUCUUGCAAAAGGAAGUCUUUAAAUCAUUUCUUAUACCAAUAAACUUUUCCUUCUGAGGACUUGUGACAUGACCUGAGGUGGAUACUGCUCCGAGUUCUACAAGGAAUUCGAUUCAACGUUAAGAGCUCUUGUCAUGGGAGUCAAUGAAGACAACCCACAUCCAAAACAAACAGGUGAACUGGAGAGUAAAAACUAACGUGACUGUCAGCACGAAGCCCGGGACUACUAGUCCAAACAGUGCCUCUACGGCAGUUGAAUGUGAUUUGCCAGAGAACUUUUAUUUACUUGUGCCUUUCUGCAGCGGGUCUGUGGCUUAAGAAGGUGGCGUGGCUGCUCUACUGAGGCUGGGUUUGCAUUCCUGAUGACAUUUUCCAUCACCGACCGCCAGGCUCCCUUACCUGCUGCCUUGAGAAGAGCUGCCAGCCUCGUGGACCCUCUCCCAGCUGCUAUGUGCAGGGGUGUAGUUCCGUCAUAGGUGGUGCUGUCUACAUGGGCAUCACCCUAAAAUCCCCCCCCACAGAAAACGUACGCGGGCCUCUCACUGUUGUGGCCUCUCCCGUUGCGGAGCACAGGCUCUGGAUGCGCAGGCUCAGUGGCCAUGGCUCACAGGCCCAGCUGCUCCGCGGCAUGUGGGAUCUUCCCGGACCGGGGCGCAAACCCACGUCCCCUGCAUCGGCAGACGUACUCUCAACCGCUGCGCCACCAGGGAAACCCUAUCUUCCCAAAACUUUUUUAUCUUUUUGCACAAAGAACUGUUCCAGGUGCCUUUUACAGUCUUCCAGGUAACUGAAAUUUUUUCCAUUAAGAGAAUUUUGUAAAGACUGAAAUGAAAUCUGAAGGUGUAAUGUCUGGUGAAUACGGCGGAUGAAUCAGAACUUCCCGGCCACGCUGGAACAGUUUUUGCCUGGUCAUCAAAGAAACAUGCGGUCUUGUGUUAUCCUGAUGGAAGAUUAUGCGUUUUCUGUUGACUAAUUCUGGACGCUUUUAGUCGAGUGCUGCUUUCAGUUAGUCUAAUUGGGAGCAGUACUUGUUGGAAUUAAUCGUUUGGUUUUCCAGAAGGAGCUCAUAACAGAGGACUCCCUUCCAAUUUCACCAUAUACACAUCACCUUCUCUGGAUGAAGACUGGCCUUUGGUGUGGUUGGUGGUGUUCAUUUCACUUGCCCCACGAUCUCUUCCAUUCCACAUUAUUGUACAGUAUCCACUUUUCAUCACCUGUCACAAUUUGUUUUAAAAAUGGAACGUUUUUGUUACGUUUAAGUAGAGAAUCGCAUGCAGAAAUAGGGUCAAGAAGGUUUUUUCCCCGCUUAACAUGGAACUGAAACAUCAAAGUGACUGACGUAACCCAGCUGGUGCACAUGAUUUUCAAAGCUUGAUUUGGAUAUUCUGAGUAUGUCGGCUAUCUCCCUAGUGGUAAUAAUGGUGAUCGUUCUCAAUUAAUGUCUCGAUUUGAUUGCUAUCAACUUCAACUGGUCUACCAGACCGCAGAGCAUCGUCCAGCGAGAAAUCUCCAGCACGAAACUUCGCAAACCACUUCUGACACGUUCAAUCAGUCACAGCACCUUCUCCAUACACUGCACAAAUCUUUUCGUGUUUCAGUUGCGUUUUUACUUUUCUUGAAAUAAUAAAGCAUAACAGGCCGAAAAUGUUUUCCUUCCAUCUUCAAUAUUAAAAUGGCUACACAAAAAAAUCACCAAUUUUGGUAAGUCUUUUUUUAAAUGCACGCUGAUAUGACAGCUGUCACAUACAAUCUAACAAAAUUGUUUUGAAUGAAGCUAAAGACAACCAAGUGCUGUGAGAGCCGUCUUACGGAAAAAACCGAAGGAACCUUUUGGCCAAUCCAAUAUAUAUACUGGACUAACAUUUAGUCGUUCAAUUAUCAAGAUUAUUUUUUAUAUUUACAAUUCUUAAUAGCUUUCUUGUUUCUCACUACAGCCAAGUGAUUGUUGAUAUGUUAACUCAUCUAUUAGUAAAUUUAGUUUUCUUGAAUUUCUAGGAGUCUACCUUCAGCUGAAAAAUCAUGUUAACAAAUCAAAUCAAGGCUAUGGUUUUACUGAAGAAGUUUAAAUAAACUGCCCGAUAGAAACCAAUUAACAAAGGUGCUGUCAUUCUAUACUGACAUGGAAAAAAAAUGCGCUAAAUUAAAAACUACUGUUCCGUGGACUGGCUCCAUGAGACCAAUGGAUAGAACUCUGCCACUCCCAUUUUAGAGGAUUCUCAAAGUCAUACUAGGACCAGAGAACUACCUCUCACUAAGAGGGCUCGGAUGGACAAACAAGCUGAGUUGCUGACACCUAAUAAGUGUGUAAACAGUCCAUUUGAUUACGCUGCCCACGAAGCAGUACCUCAGUGAAUGCAAAUGAGAUGUUUUGAAAACUGUGUUUUCAAAAUCAGUUAAGACAGACACAAUCAUGGAAGUAUCUUUCAAAGAACUGAGGCCACUGACACAGAACAGCAGUGUAUUUUUAUACAAGUCAGUCUAUUUCACAGAAGCCUGUGAAAUCCAGCCUGUCUAGUGACAAUUUGCCUAAACUUUCCUUCUCAGUAAGCAGUUAGUGGCUGUAGCAGUGACAACAGGUGGGCCACCGACAUCCUGGCCGGGGCAUGGCACAUGUAAACAGGAUGAAAGAUGCUUGUGCUGCCUAAGUCUCAUUACAGUGAUUAUUUUUUUUAUAAUUAAUUAAUUUUUGGCUGUGUUGGGCUUUGUUGCUGCGUGCGGGCUUUCUUUAGUUGCGGCGAGUGGGGUCUACUCUUCGUUGUGGUGCGCGGGCUUCUCAUUGCAGUGGCUUCUCUUGUUGCGGAGCAUGGGCUCUAGGUGCGCGGGCUCCAGUAGUUGUGGCACACGGGCUUGGUAGUUGCGGCUCGCGGGCUCUAGAGCUUAGGCUUGUAGUUGUGGCGCACGGGCUUAGUUGCUCCGCGGCGUGUGGGAUCUUCCCAGACCAGGGAUCGAACCUGUGUCCCCUGCAUUGGCAGGCGGAUUCUUAACCACUGCACCACCAGGGAAGCUGCUACAGUGAUUAUUUAAUAUAACAGAAACGGAUUUUUUUUCUAAAUUUCCACUCUCACCCUUAUUUUUUUCAUCCCUUAGAACUAUAUCCUGGCUUGAAAUGAAUCAUGUCCUCAGAACUUUAGACAUUAUAGCCAAGAGCCUUCCUCUCAAAAAAUAAAUAAGUAAAUAAAAGCUGUGUUUAUAAUCAGAUAUGUUAUUUGGGGAGAUGGGAAAAGGAAAGAGAACGAUACUGGAAAAAAGAUCUGAAAUCACAUGAUACCAUUCAGAGAUUUAAAAUUAUCUGUAGUUUCAAUAUAAGUUUCAUAUCAUACAAAAUCUCUUACCAUGAGUAAAAAAAAUUUUUUUAAGUUUUUUUUCCUAUGAUCCCAUGAAGGUUUUCUAUGACAUUUUAGGCUUUAGAUCUUAAACCCCAGGAUUAUAUCUUAAGCAGUUACACAAUGUAGGAAUCCAGGAACUUUUCAUGCCAUGCCUGCUGGCAUAUGGACUUAUGCAGACACUCUGCAGAGCCAAGUACACAAAUGCCUCAGCAAUCCCACUCCUGUCUGUGUAUCUGACACAAAUCCACAAGGGCACAUGGGUGAGACUCUUCACUGAAGUACUGUCUGUGCAGGUAGGAAGAGAGAAGCUGGUUCAGUGUCCACUGUUGGGGAACAGGUACAUAACAGGUGGAAGAUGUAAACUAUGGGAUCCUCUUCAGGAGUAGAAACAAGGAACUAGCUGUACACACAGGUGCGUGGAUAAAUCGCAUAAGCAGUGAAGGCAGAAAUAUAGUGACAUGUAGCACAAAGCCACUUAUGCAAUUAAAAAAUACGUGCAUGGGGCUUCCGUGGUGGCGCAGUGGUUGAGAGUCCGCCUGCUGAUGCAGGGGACGCGGGUUCGUGCCCCAGUCCGGGAGGAUCCCACAUGCCGCGGAGCGGCUGGGCCCGUGAGCCAUGGCCGCUGAGCCUGCGCGUCCGGAGCCUGUGCUCCACAAUGGGAGAGGCCACAACAGUGAGAGGCCCGCAGAAUGCAAAAAAAAAAAAAAAAAAAAAUACGUGCAUGAAGAACUAUAUGGACACACACAAAUGAGUGUGUGUAAAACUGAUGAAACCCAGAUGAGAUCUGUGGAUUCUAUCAAGGUCAAUUUCCUGGCUUUGAUACUGGACAAGAGUUAUGCAAGAAGUUACCACUGGGGAAACUGGGUGAAGGGUACGUGGGACUCCUGGUACACUUUUUUUUUUUUGGUAACCACCUAUAAAUCUGUAAUUGUAUUUAAAAUUUAAGAAAAAGGUUUAUGCAAAUCAGGAGCAGUAUGUAUAAUAUAAUGUGGACUGUGUGUAAGGAUAUACUAAAAUAUCUGUCUAUUUAAAGUUAUAUAUAUUUUUAUGUAACCAAUACCUGGGAAAAUACUUAUAAACACAAUAGUUAUAUUUGGGAGUGGGGCUGGGAGACGUAUAUGCUGCCAGGGAGGGUAACCUUGAUUCUCUAAUGUAUAUCCUUAUGUACUAUUUUAAAAACUAUGAAUACAUAUUAUAUUUAUAAUAAUUAGAAACAUUAAACAAUACAUGCGCAAAAACCCCACUAAUGUUUUACAGGAACAUAUGCAAAUAAAACAGUUGAUA